This 587-nucleotide long non-coding RNA is filed under the name Mytilus galloprovincialis (Mediterranean mussel). The record is from RNAcentral. Lineage: Eukaryota; Metazoa; Mollusca; Bivalvia; Mytilida; Mytilidae.
GAGGAAACACAACCUAUUGAGCAGCAACUAAAGGCACUAAAGAAUAGAGGUUGUCACAAUGAAGAGGCAUGAACCGUAAAUAAUGGUUAUAAAAGGCCCUAUCAGACCUCCAAAAUCCAGCUGACAUUAUUUCCGACAUAGAAGAGGAAUUAAAAAUGUUCCAAGAAGAGACUAAAGCUCUUAUUUCAUGUGCUUUAACUUGAUGUUUAACUAAAUCUUCAGAAGAAGCAGACUUAUAAGCCAAAAUGACAGUAUUGCAAAUCCAGAUAGAAAAUCCUUUUUUAAUAGGAAUGAACAACCUAGAAGAACCAGCAGAUCUUAAUUUAGCUGAAGAAGCUAGGUAAACAAGCAAGGCUCUCACUGGACACAAAACCUGAUUAUCCGCCGUGGGAGGUAACGCAGGAAUAGUAAUGAAACCAGAACCUUUAUCAGGUAACUGGUUCUUUGCUAAAAAGAUGGAUCAGUGAGAAGAGUAACUGAAGACUUAUCAGCCGCAAAGCGGAGACAAGACUCAGAAAUUCCCAAGGCAUGAAUCUCACUCCUUCUACGACCAGUACCCAAAGCUAUAAGAAAACAACAUUUAUAAG